AUGUGUGUUCCAAAAGGACAAGGAGGAAUGAGUUUUCGAGAUAUACAUUGUUUUAAUUUGCCAUUGUUAGCUAAACAAGCUUGGCGUCCCCUGGAUAAUCCUGAAUCGUUAUGUGCCACAAUCUUAAGAGCCAAGUAUUUCCCAGAGGGGGAUUUGAUGAAUGCAAGUUUAAAAAAGGGUCCUCUUUUACUUGGCAAAACAUUAUGGCGGGAGUGGAAUCUCUCAGGAAUGGUUAUAUAUGAAGGGUCGGUAAUGGAGAAAAUAAUGAUAUAUGGAGAGACGCAUGGAUCCCGAAUUGCGCCAAUAGGAGAAUUAUUACUCCUAGAAGAGGGAAUCUAUUGA
This 342-nucleotide ribosomal RNA is filed under the name Triticum aestivum (bread wheat). Its description in RNAcentral is "partial small subunit ribosomal RNA". The record is from RNAcentral. Lineage: Eukaryota; Viridiplantae; Streptophyta; Magnoliopsida; Poales; Poaceae.